GACGAACGCUGGCGGCGUGCUUAACACAUGCAAGUCGAACGGAAAGGCCCUGCUUUUGUGGGGUGCUCGAGUGGCGAACGGGUGAGUAACACGUGAGUAACCUGCCCUUGACUUUGGGAUAACUUCAGGAAACUGGGGCUAAUACCGGAUAGGAGCUCCUGCUGCAUGGUGGGGGUUGGAAAGUUUCGGCGGUUGGGGAUGGACUCGCGGCUUAUCAGCUUGUUGGUGGGGUAGUGGCUUACCAAGGCUUUGACGGGUAGCCGGCCUGAGAGGGUGACCGGCCACAUUGGGACUGAGAGACGGCCCAGACUCCUACGGGAGGCAGCAGUGGGGAAUAUUGCACAAUGGGCGGAAGCCUGAGGCAGCAACGCCGCGUGCGGGAGGACGGCCUUCGGGUUGUAAACCGCUUUCGCCUGUGACGAAGCGUGAGUGACGGGAAUGGGUAAAGAAGCACCGGCUAACUACGU
This 467-nucleotide ribosomal RNA is filed under the name uncultured bacterium. Its description in RNAcentral is "partial 16S ribosomal RNA". It matches the Rfam family "Bacterial small subunit ribosomal RNA", at positions 28 to 506 of the family's 1533-position model. The record is from RNAcentral.